RNAcentral lists this ribosomal RNA (454 nucleotides) under uncultured bacterium. RNAcentral describes it as "partial 16S ribosomal RNA". It matches the Rfam family "Bacterial small subunit ribosomal RNA", at positions 28 to 507 of the family's 1533-position model. The record is from RNAcentral.
GAUGAACGCUGACAGAAUGCUUAACACAUGCAAGUCAACUUGAACUUCGGUUUGGGUGGCGGACGGGUGAGUAACGCGUAAAGAACUUGCCUCACAGCUAGGGACAACAUUUGGAAACGAAUGCUAAUACCUGAUAUUAUGAUUUUAGGGCAUCCUAGAAUUAUGAAAGCUAUAUGCGCUGUGAGAGAGCUUUGCGUCCCAUUAGCUAGUUGGAGAGGUAGCGGCUCACCAAGGCGAUGAUGGGUAGCCGGCCUGAGAGGGUGAACGGCCACAAGGGGACUGAGACACGGCCCUUACUCCUACGGGAGGCAGCAGUGGGGAAUAUUGGACAAUGGACCAAGAGUCUGAUCCAGCAAUUCUGUGUGCACGAUGAAGUUUUUCGGAAUGUAAAGUGCUUUCAGUUGGGAAGAAAAAAAUGACGGUACCAACAGAAGAAGUGACGGCUAAAUACGUG